Pieris napi is the source of this 751-nucleotide long non-coding RNA. RefSeq lists it as uncharacterized. The record is from RefSeq and is a predicted model, not a curated record. Lineage: Eukaryota; Metazoa; Arthropoda; Insecta; Lepidoptera; Pieridae. The transcript is spliced from 4 exons.
UUGUUAUUAAUAUUUAAACCAGAGAGCCGAAGCUAGUAUAUAUUAUAUGACAACGUUUAGAUAAUAAAUAGUUUGCGUUUGUAUCUUGAUUGAAGUGGACCUGUGCGUGAUUUAAUUAAUAUGAAAGUACAUCUGUUACUGGCUCUCCUGAUUGGGACCUGUUACGCUAACAAUGGCGUGUGCAACAUGUCAGACGGUUCAAUAGGGACAUGUGUAAAACCAGGACAAUGUAAGGCACCGGACCUUGGUAACUUGAGUGUUUACAGGACAAUACAAAUGGUGUGCCCAACUGGAGAAGAAUGCUGUGAUUUUACAGAUGUAAUCCAAUCUUCUAGUUCACCCAUUACCGUUAAUAAUUAUGUAAGAACAUCAAAUACUAAUAUGAAUAUAAAUUAUAACAAUUUCAAUUAUUAUAACAAUUUUCAACAAUAUUAUAGAUAGUUUUACCAUUUAUCAUUUAGUUAUAUCUAUUAAAUAAAUACCAACCUACAAUCUGCGGCUAUUAUAUUAUUCCGAUUAAAGAUAUAUACUGGUCGAAGAUCCUUCGAAGAAAGAUCCAUGAAAGAACACCACCUUCUUACCUCCACAUUAUCCAUUUUUAUUAAAAACUGUUUAGCUUCUUCAGUCAUUUGUCACUUUUCAUAGCAAAAUAGUUUAAGUUAAAUUUUCAAAUCGUACUCAAAUAGUUUAAGAAAUUUGUGAAUGAGCGUAUUAUGUGGUUAAAUUUUGUAAAAUAAAUUUAUCAAAAUCC